UGCAGGAAGAAGGCCUUCGGGUUGUAAACUGCUUUUGUACGGAACGAAACGGCUCUGGUUAAUACCCGGGGCUAACGACGGUACCGUAAGAAUAAGCACCGGCUAACUACGUGCCAGCAGCCGCGGUAAUACGUAGGGUGCAAGCGUUAAUCGGAAUUACUGGGCGUAAAGCGUGCGCAGGCGGUUUUGUAAGACAGGCGUGAAAUCCCCGGGCUCAACCUGGGAAUGACGCUUGUGACUGCAAAGCUGGAGUGCGGCAGAGGGGGAUGGAAUUCCGCGUGUAGCAGUGAAAUGCGUAGAUAUGCGGAGGAACACCGAUGGCGAAGGCAAUCCCCUGGGCCUGCACUGACGCUCAUGCACGAAAGCGUGGGGAGCAAACAGGAUUAGAUACCCUGGUAGUCCACGCCCUAAACGA
This 415-nucleotide ribosomal RNA is filed under the name uncultured bacterium. Its description in RNAcentral is "bacterial SSU rRNA". It matches the Rfam family "Bacterial small subunit ribosomal RNA", at positions 402 to 809 of the family's 1533-position model. The record is from RNAcentral.